GGGCCGGUAGUCUAGUCGGUUAGGAUAUCGCCUCGACACGGCGAUGAUCGAGAGUUCGAAUCUCUCUCGGCCCA
Molecule: transfer RNA, 74 nt
Filed under: Candidatus Nitrosopumilus sp.
Lineage: Archaea; Thermoproteati; Nitrososphaerota; Nitrososphaeria; Nitrosopumilales; Nitrosopumilaceae
Also listed under: 1 other name
Description: Nitrosopumilus sp. tRNA-Val
Rfam family: tRNA
About the family: Transfer RNA (tRNA) molecules are approximately 80 nucleotides in length. Their secondary structure includes four short double-helical elements and three loops (D, anti-codon, and T loops). Further hydrogen bonds mediate the characteristic L-shaped molecular structure. tRNAs have two regions of fundamental functional importance: the anti-codon, which is responsible for specific mRNA codon recognition, and the 3' end, to which the tRNAs corresponding amino acid is attached (by aminoacyl-tRNA synthetases). tRNAs cope with the degeneracy of the genetic code in two manners: having more than one tRNA (with a specific anti-codon) for a particular amino acid; and 'wobble' base-pairing, i.e. permitting non-standard base-pairing at the 3rd anti-codon position.
Source: RNAcentral